GGGGGGAGGUCGGAUCCUGGGCUUUGUCCUGGAGCCCAGUGCUCUGGGGCCUGCACUGUUGGAUUCGCGCUCCCGGUGGCACAGCCCCCU
This 90-nucleotide microRNA precursor is filed under the name Canis lupus familiaris (dog). RNAcentral describes it as "mir-8799 microRNA precursor family". It matches the Rfam family "mir-8799 microRNA precursor family". The record is from Rfam by way of RNAcentral. RNAcentral also lists the same sequence under 1 other name. Lineage: Eukaryota; Metazoa; Chordata; Mammalia; Carnivora; Canidae.